GAUGAACGCUGGCGGCGCACAUAAGACAUGCAAGUCGAACGGAAGUCGUUAUAAAAAGGAUUGAAGAUUUAUCUGAUUGAGAUUUUAUAACAAUGGCUUUAGUGGCGGACUGGUGAGUAACGCGUGAGCAACCUGCCUACUAGAGGGGAAUAACAGUGAGAAAUCAUUGCUAAUACCGCAUAUGCCAUGAACAUCACAUGAUGAAAAUGGGAAAAGAGUAAUCUGCUAGUAGAUGGGCUCGCGUCUGAUUAGAUAGUUGGUGGGGCAACGGCCUACCAAGUCGACGAUCAGUAGCCGGACUGAGAGGGUUGAACGGCCACAUUGGGACUGAGAUACGGCCCAGACUCCUACGGGAGGCAGCAGUCGGGAAUAUUGCGCAAUGGAGGAAACUCUGACGCAGUGACGCCGCGUAUAGGAAGAAGGUUUUCGGAUUGUAAACUAUUGUCGUUAGGGAAGAUACAAGACAGUACCUAAGGAGGAAG
RNAcentral lists this ribosomal RNA (482 nucleotides) under uncultured bacterium. RNAcentral describes it as "bacterial SSU rRNA". It matches the Rfam family "Bacterial small subunit ribosomal RNA", at positions 28 to 490 of the family's 1533-position model. The record is from RNAcentral.